This is a long non-coding RNA of Cloeon dipterum, 2478 nucleotides long. RefSeq lists it as uncharacterized. The transcript has 2 exons. The record is from RefSeq and is a predicted model, not a curated record. NCBI's taxonomy places the organism in Eukaryota, Metazoa, Arthropoda, Insecta, Ephemeroptera, Baetidae.
AAAAACAAAUCAUUUUUUAAUUAUACAGUACUUUUUUUAAAUUUUAUAUUAAAAAAUUAACCCUAAUCCCAUUUACUAGUCAUUUAGUAAAUCGGUUCAGCGGUCAACAGCGUAAAAAUCGAUUACACUCGCUUGCCCGAGCACGCCCGGGUAUCAAAUCGUAAUUCUGUUUGAUAAUAUUUGGGGAUAAGCCAUGAAAUUUGACGCCCGAGGGCGUGCGAGUGUUAAAAAGGGUUAACUGGACGCGUGUAACCGCUUUUAUCAUUUUGCACACAAGCUCGCUAGCCUAGAGCGAGAGCAUUUAGCCGUUUGGUAGGAAGGCAGGCAGGCUGGAAGCAAGCAAGAGCAAGAGCAAGGCCGGUCAUCCAAGCAAGCCUGUGUGCAGAGCAGAGGACAUGCUCUCUCUCUCUCUCUCUCUCUCCUCUUUGUAUGCGGCCGCCCUGUCAGGCGAAAGACAACUUGUCACCAUCAAUUCGGCGCCGGCAUGCUCGCUCGAGCCGCGCGCGCGCGCGCCCGCGUAAUUCAGCAUGCGGCGCUGCGCUGGUUUAUUCCCCCUGGGUGAUUAGCGCCGCAACGGCCUAUAAAUACUGCUGCUGAUGUUGCACAUCCAGGGCGGUGAAUACGCUCAUCGUGUGCACCGCAAACCCGGCCGGGCGUGUGUGAGUGUGUGUGUGUGCAUGGAUAGGUGACACACAACCCCAGUGGGCGCGCAACUAACUGCGCUUUUAAUUAACCUUUUUGCUGAUUGCGAGCGGACGCCUCUAUUUUAAAUGCGAUUCUCUAUUUGACAUCGGCUGCAAUCGUAUAACAGCGUUGCUGAAGAGACAAUGGAUUCAUUUGCCCUUUAGCUUGAUUCAAUUAUUGCAGCACCUGUCUGCUGUUAAACGGCGCACAAAAUGAGGAAACGUAAUUGAUAUUCGUGUGAGGAAUUUUUUGUGUGUUAAAAAACGGAAAUGAGCAGAUAGAAUUAAAUUAAGCUGUAAAACAAUGUGCAUUAAAAAAUAUUUUGAAUUACAUCAUUAUUAAAAAUCUGAUAAAAAGCGUCUUGCCCAUUCAAACAUGUUCAAAAUAGAUACUUCAAAUUCUCCAAUUUCAGUUAUAAAAGAACAAAAAAAUCGCGAUGGUUAAAAAUAUUCACUUUUUGACGCUGUAGAUGCAAUUAUGGCUAAUAGGGGUAGAAAGGUGAGGGGUGAGCACCCCAAAAACCACUCAGCUCAACAGGGGAAAUCAAGACAAGUCGAAUGGCGUGCAGUUUGUGUAUUUCUGUCGCUAAGAACCCGAGAUUUUGUGCUCACAACAUUUGUAAAAAUUCUAAAAAUCUGUUUUUUUUUAUUUAAAAUUUGAAUUACUUGAAAACAAGUCGAAUACCACCUUGAAAUUUUCUCACAAGUUCACACCUACCCUGGUAUCAAUUUUGAGAGGCGUUUCGGAUUUUUAAAGCUUGCCGCUGAUUUUCAAAAUCAAAAUAAAAACAUUACAAUAUUUUAAAACGAGACUUUGCGACCGAUAACCUCAAAUUUGGUGUUCAAUUCAUCGGGCUUGAUGAACCUUAGCUCUAAAAAUGAAUUCAAAGUUUACCAAAAAUGCGCAGUUUUAAUUUUGACGUAAAUUUUGUUUUGUUACUCUUCGAGUAAAGAUUAUCUAGACAACCAAAACCACUCAGGGAGCCUUUUUCUGACAGACACAUGUCCAACAUAAUACGCUUUUAUCAAGAGUUUUCACUGCUGACUUUAGGAAAAAGUAAGGACUAUGUGCGAGUCCAAUUCCUUUGAUAAACUAAUCAAUCUUUUGCCAUUUCCUUUAGAUUAAAACACUUUAUCUUGAGCCGUAAAGAAAGGGCUAAGUGACAUUUUAUCUUCUGGACAAACUCGACUUUGUCUUCCAUUUAAAAGAUCGACACAUCAUAUCAACAUCAAAAGUUUUCUACUAUUUUGCUGAAGGCCUAUUUCAUCUCCAAAAAUUCAUGAGGUGAAGGAAAGCAGUGUUUUGUAACAAGUUGAUUGCCAAAGGACAUCAUGCACGCCGGCUCUUUGUUGCUGUUAUUUGCUGUUACUGCACUGUUCAUCCAGUCGACCUGCUGGGCUUCUCAUCGAAUGUCGUCUUCGGAUAAAGAGGAGGAAGAGCAAGCAUUUGAUCCAAACCAAGCUGGAUCUGUCGAUGGAACUGUUCAGGACAUACGACAAUUGAUGGACUCACCCAAAAAGGGGGAUUGUGUCAGAUUCCGUAAGGUUUAUGAUAUAAAUUUAAGAAAAGUGCGAAAAAUGUGUUUCACUCGAUACUAAAUAUUGAAUUUGUUUGAUGAAUUUCAACCAUUAAACCAUUUGAAUUUAAAAGCAAGUUUAAAAUUUUUACUAAAAACACACAUUAGCAUUUGUACGAAUAAUUUUUUAUGCAAAGAAUGAAAAAUGUUUAUUGGAAUGUAAAAUUGUGACACAUCAACAUGACCAUUAAAAAACUUACUCACUGAAGAAAUCUAAA